GGGACGUAGUAACUCCACCUUACUUCUGAUUACUGAGUCUGGUGUUUAUAGAACAACAAUGAUUAUUCACAUCACCAGGUGGACUCUGGUCUUUUUGAAUCCCGAUUGUUCUGCUUGUCUUUCGUCUGUGGACGAGGAAGAAGAAAGCUGUGAGCUCCACCACUGAACCACAUGAGUCCAGAGAGGCUGUGGAGAUGGACCUUCAUCCUGAGUAUGAGGACCUCUCAGACAUGGCAGCACAGAGAGAAGACCCAGAGGAGCAGGAGGACCGGGUGUGAAGAUGCAGUCAAACCAGAGGGAGACUCACCUGGACGGAGACAGGAACAAGUGAACAUAUUUCCCUUCAGUACCACAAGUUAUUAUCUGAGGUCUUUACAAAGUUAAAACUGUACUUUUUAUUUCGUUCUCUUUGUUCUUGAAUCACUGUUUUUAUUUUAAAUGUUCUUUGGUAGAGAACUUUGAAUUUCAUUCUUGCUUCAAUGUGUUUUAUAGAUAAACUUGCAUUAAAAUAUCAGAAUUAGUGGCUUGUAGCAGAAUAUUCAUGAUGCUUUAAUUAUAUCUGUGCUGCUACAUUACUUGUGUGCAUGUUG
Long non-coding RNA from Gasterosteus aculeatus aculeatus (three-spined stickleback), 590 nucleotides. The record is from Ensembl. Lineage: Eukaryota; Metazoa; Chordata; Actinopteri; Perciformes; Gasterosteidae.